UACGUAGGGGGCUAGCGUUGUCCGGAUUUAUUGGGCGUAAAGAGCGUGUAGGCGGCCAGGUAGGUCUGCUGUGAAAACUCGAGGCUCAACCUCGAGACGUCGGCGGAAACCAUCUGGCUAGAGUCCGGAAGAGGAGAGUGGAAUUCCUGGUGUAGCGGUGAAAUGCGCAGAUAUCAGGAAGAACACCCGUGGCGAAGGCGGCUCACUGGCCCGGAACUGACGCUGAGACGCGAAAGCGUGGGGAGCAAACAGG
Molecule: ribosomal RNA, 253 nt
Filed under: uncultured bacterium
Lineage: Bacteria
Description: partial 16S ribosomal RNA
Rfam family: Bacterial small subunit ribosomal RNA
Source: RNAcentral